AACGAACGCUGGCGGCAUGCCUAACACAUUCAAGUCGAACGAGAUCUACGGGUCUAGUGGCGCACGGGUGCGUAACGCAGGGAAAUCUGCUCUUUGGUUCGGAAUAACAGUUGGAAACGACUGCUAAUACCGGAUGAUGACGAAAGUCCAAAGAUUUAUCGCCAGAGGAUGAGCCCGCGUAGGAUUCUCUAGUUGGUGCGGUAACGGAUCACCAAGGACACGAUCCUUAGCUGGUCUGAGAGGAUGAUAAGCCACACUGGGCCUGAGACACGGCCCAAACUCGCAAGGGAGGCAGCAGUGGGGAAUAUUGGACAAUGGGCGAAAGCAUGAUCCAGCAAUGCCGCGUGUGUGAUGAAGGCCUUAGGGUUGUAAAGCUCUUUUACCGGGGAUGAUAAUGACAGUACCGGGAGAAUAAGCUCCGGCUAACUCCGUGCCAGCAGCCGCAGUAA
This 449-nucleotide ribosomal RNA is filed under the name uncultured bacterium. RNAcentral's name for it is "partial 16S ribosomal RNA". It matches the Rfam family "Bacterial small subunit ribosomal RNA", at positions 29 to 523 of the family's 1533-position model. The record is from RNAcentral.